UAUGGCCAUAUCACAUUGAGACACCCAUUCUCAUAUGAUCACUCAAGUUAAGCAAUGUCAACCCUGGUCAGUACUUAGAUGGGUGACCCCUUAGGAAUACUAGGGGCU
Acanthosepion pharaonis is the source of this 108-nucleotide non-coding RNA. Lineage: Eukaryota; Metazoa; Mollusca; Cephalopoda; Sepiida; Sepiidae. The record is from the annotation of a GenBank genome assembly.